GUGCGCAGGCGCUUGCGGCUUCGCGGGGCUGACCGUGCGCUUCGCCUGCGGGGUCGUGCUGGGGCGGCGGGUACGCUAUUUGAAGAACAGGUUUCCAUGCUCUUAGAGGAGCAUCAGAAAAUGAACAAACCCCAGGUGAGUUCCUUUUUUAGAUUUUUUCAUUUUCCAGGGGAUUUGCUGGCUUUUAUAAAAUUCGUUUAUUCAGAUGGACAUUUAAAAAGCUACUUCAGGAUAAAUGAGGAGUGAGAGGCAACUGAGCAGUAGGCAGAGGUGGCUGCGGAACCCUGUGGUCAUGUGAUCCUACAAUCGUCAAAGGAGAGGGGCAGAUUUGUCUUUUUUUUUUUGACACAGAGUCUUGCUCUGUUGCCCAGGCUGGAAUGCAGUGGCGUGAUCUUGGCUCACUGCAACCUUCACCUCUGGGGUUCAACCAAAUCUCAUGCCUCGGUCUCCCGACUAGCUGGGACUACAGGUGCUCACCACCACACCCGGCUAAUUUUUGUAUUUUUUAUAGAGAUGGUUUCGCCAUGUUGGCCAGUCUGGUCUCGAGC
RNAcentral lists this long non-coding RNA (548 nucleotides) under Homo sapiens (human). RNAcentral describes it as "non-protein coding lnc-ZNF316-3:6". The record is from RNAcentral. Lineage: Eukaryota; Metazoa; Chordata; Mammalia; Primates; Hominidae.